GUGAAAGGGUUUAGAUUAUGAUGUCCUGAUCCCAAAUCAUCAAAAUUUAUCAUUAGUAGAGAUGUUACUUUUGAUGAAUAUGCUAUGAUUAAUCCUAAAUAGAAAAAUACUAUUAGCUCUGAAUUUGCAUAGAUUAAAGGUAACAUCAAGUAGAUGGAGCUAGGAGCAGUUGAUUCUAAUCCUUUGCAAGAUUUUACUCCAGAGUUUCAUUCAGAACAGAUGCUAGAAGAGCAAACUUCACAAUAAGAUGAGCCUUACUGCAUUGCCAAGCAUAGAC
This 277-nucleotide long non-coding RNA is filed under the name Elaeis guineensis (African oil palm). Its description in RNAcentral is "long non-coding RNA (EGUI_LNC032368)". The record is from RNAcentral. Lineage: Eukaryota; Viridiplantae; Streptophyta; Magnoliopsida; Arecales; Arecaceae.